AAUGAAUGAAAUUGAGUGGGGUUGUAGCUGGCCUUUUACCGGGCAUGUGCACACCUCAUUCAACCACCAUCUAUACCUCUGUGCACUUCUCAUGAGUUGGGCUGCGUCUGAAAUACGACAAAGUCCGGCUUGUGUGCUUUAUACAAACAAAUUAUGUUAUAGAAUGUCACUAUCAUGCUUUAAAGCAUAUAAUACAACUUUCAACAACGGAUCUCUUGGCUCUACGCAUCGAUGAAGAACGCAGCGAAAUGCGAUAAGUAAUGUGAAUUGCAGAAUUCAGUGAAUCAUCGAAUCUUUGAACGCACCUUGCGCUCCUUGGUAUUCCGAGGAGCAUGCUUGUUUGAGUGUCAUGGUCUUCUCAACCCUCCUGUCUUUUUUAUUAAAGGCAGCCGGGCUUGGACUUGGAGGUUUUGCAGGCGUCCGAAUUUUUAAUUUGGAAGUCGGCUCCUCUGAAAUGCAUUAGCUUGAAUAGAACCAAGCAUGAUUCAGCGUGAUAAUUGUCUACGUUGCUUCAUCUCGGUGAAUUUAAUGUUCGAGCUUCUAACCGUCCCUCGGGACAAUCUCUGAACAUCUGACCUCAAAUCAGUAGGAC
RNAcentral lists this ribosomal RNA (592 nucleotides) under Steccherinum ochraceum. RNAcentral describes it as "eukaryotic LSU rRNA". The stretch from base 196 to 350 matches the Rfam family "5.8S ribosomal RNA". Lineage: Eukaryota; Fungi; Basidiomycota; Agaricomycetes; Polyporales; Steccherinaceae. The record is from RNAcentral.